GCCCCCACCUGGCUUGAGGAUCUGCGGAUUCGCUGCGACACCGAGGCGCGGCGCCUCACCAAUUUUUUUUUUGUUUGUUUUUUAGGUGGCUUUUUUGGGGACUGAGCCCCUCACUCUGGCGCCCAGGCUACAUUGCAGUGGCGCGGUCUUGGCUCAGUGAAGCCUCGACCUGCCGGACUAAAGCAGUUCUCCCGCCUCAGCCUCCCCAAGUAGCCGGGACUACAGGUGCACGCCACCACACCCGGCUAAUUAUUAUGGUCUUUAAAUUUAAAAAAAAAAUUUUUUUUAGACGGAGUCUCGCUCUAUCCCCCAGGCUGGAGUGCAUUGGCGCAGUCUCAGCUGCAACCUCCGCCUCCUGGUUCAAACGAGUCUCCUGCCUCAGCCUCCUGAGCAGAUGGGAUUACGGGCGCCCGCCACCAUGCCCGGCUAAUUUUUGUGUUUUUAGUAGAGACGGGGUUUCGCCAUGUUGGCCAGGCUGGUCUCGAACUCAUGACCUCAUGAUGCACCCGCCUCGGCGUGCCAAAGUGCUGGGAUUACAGGCGUGAGCCACCGCGCCCGGCCUAAUUAUUAUAUUUUGUGUAGAGAUGGAGUCUCACCAUGUUGCCCAGGCUGGUCUCGAACUCCUGGGCUCAAGCGAUCCGCCGGCCUCAGUCUUCCAAAGUGCUGGGAUUCCAGGCAUGACCCACCGCGCCCGCCCCCCGACGCCACCGAUGUGGAGUGUGAGAUUGUCCUCUCGUUGCUGUUUACCCAUUGCAACUCAGGUAUGAGGAUCCUGUGUGGAUGGGUCAAGGUGCACAGAUUUCCAUUCAGUUAUCUUAUAAGAAAGAUAAAACGAUAUCACAAUUCAAAAGUAAAGUUUGGUGAUAAUAUACUUAGCAUUUGUGUUAAAGUUCCUAAGAACAAUUGUAAAUGACAGAUGGGUGCGAAUCUGGUAGCUCAGAACAAAAAGGAUAAAAUGGUCAAUCUAUUCAAAAUUGGAAUAUAGAAACUUUUUUUU
This 997-nucleotide long non-coding RNA is filed under the name Homo sapiens (human). RNAcentral's name for it is "HSALNT0384151". The record is from RNAcentral. Lineage: Eukaryota; Metazoa; Chordata; Mammalia; Primates; Hominidae.